CGUCAAAAUAAAUAAAAAUUCAAUAUUAAAGGUUCAUAAUAUAAGGUUCAUCGCAAAUCCUAACACAAAAUAAUUUAGUCGAGCAUAAUGUGAAAAAUAAACCAAGAAAAGUGGACAAAUAUCACCAAAAAUCGACCAAACGUGAAUGAUUCCUCAAAGUUGUUUUUCAGCCGCCGACUUUUGUGUUCCAAUUCCACCUCCCAAUAUGUUUUCUGUGUGUGAAAAUAUGAUGCAAUUCAGCCCAGUGUCAGCCCCUUUUCAUGUGCCAUUUUUCUGUUGGUGUAUAUAAAUAUAUGAAUUGCAGCUCCCAAAUUCCUCCCAGCAGCUGGCUAUGUUUGACUACCGAAAAUGGACUCCAAUUCUUGCCCUCCAAGCUGCUACUUUAUGUGGGAAUUGUGUCUAUGAAAAUCAACUCUUGCAGCCACAAUUAAUU
This 433-nucleotide long non-coding RNA is filed under the name Olea europaea subsp. europaea. The record is from RNAcentral. Lineage: Eukaryota; Viridiplantae; Streptophyta; Magnoliopsida; Lamiales; Oleaceae.